GACGAACGCUGGCGGCGUGCCUAAUACAUGCAAGUCGAGCGAGCUUGCCUAGAUGAAUUUGGUGCUUGCACCAAAUGAAACUAGGUACAAGCGAGCGGCGGACGGGUGAGUAACACGUGGGUAACCUGCCCAAGAGACUGGGAUAACACCUGGAAACAGAUGCUAAUACCGGAUAACAACACUAGACGCAUGUCUAGAGUUUAAAAGAUGGUUCUGCUAUCACUCUUGGAUGGACCUGCGGUGCAUUAGCUAGUUGGUAAGGUAACGGCUUACCAAGGCAAUGAUGCAUAGCCGAGUUGAGAGACUGAUCGGCCACAUUGGGACUGAGACACGGCCCAAACUCCUACGGGAGGCAGCAGUAGGGAAUCUUCCACAAUGGACGCAAGUCUGAUGGAGCAACGCCGCGUGAGUGAAGAAGGGUUUCGGCUCGUAAAGCUCUGUUGGUAGUGAAGAAAGAUAGAGGUAGUAACUGGCCUUUAUUUGACGGUAAUUACUUAGAAAGUCACGGCUAACUACGUGCCAGCAGCCGCGGUAAUACGUAGGUGGCAAGCGUUGUCCGGAUUUACUGGGCGUAAAGCGAGUGCAGGCGGUUCAAUAAGUCUGAUGUGAAAGCCUUCGGCUCAACCGGAGAAUUGCAUCAGAAACUGUUGAACUUGAGUGCAGAAGAGGAGAGUGGAGCUCCAUGUGUAGCGGUGGAAUGCGUAGAUAUAUGGAAGAACACCAGUGGCGAAGGCGGCUCUCUGGUCUGCAACUGACGCUGAGGCUCGAAAGCAUGGGUAGCGAACAGG
Molecule: ribosomal RNA, 788 nt
Filed under: uncultured Lactobacillus sp.
Lineage: Bacteria; Bacillati; Bacillota; Bacilli; Lactobacillales; Lactobacillaceae
Description: bacterial SSU rRNA
Rfam family: Bacterial small subunit ribosomal RNA
Source: RNAcentral